Molecule: microRNA precursor, 127 nt
Organism: Equus asinus (donkey)
Lineage: Eukaryota; Metazoa; Chordata; Mammalia; Perissodactyla; Equidae
Source: Ensembl
CCAGCCCCUCUGCCUUGUUCUGUCUCUCAAAGGCAUUGAGAUCCAGGACGCUGAGGGAAAGACAGGAAAGCUUCAGGGGGUCGGGAAAGUCAGCCGCCAGCAAGAGGAGAAUAAAGGCAGACAGGAC